Molecule: ribosomal RNA, 253 nt
Filed under: uncultured bacterium
Lineage: Bacteria
Description: partial 16S ribosomal RNA
Rfam family: Bacterial small subunit ribosomal RNA
Source: RNAcentral
UACGUAGGGUGCGAGCGUUGUCCGGAAUUAUUGGGCGUAAAGGGCUCGUAGGCGGUCUGUUGCGUCAGGAGUGAAAACUCGGGGCUUAACCCCGAGCCUGCUUCUGAUACGGGCAGACUAGAGGUAUGCAGGGGAGAACGGAAUUCCUGGUGUAGCGGUGAAAUGCGCAGAUAUCAAGAGGAACACCUGCGGCGAAGGCGGGUUGCUGGGCCGACACUGACGCUGAGGCGCGAAAGCUAGGGGAGCGAACGGG